AUACGGAGGGUGCAAGCAUUAAUCGGAUUUAUUGGGCGUAAAGGGCGCGUAGGCGGGAACAUAAGUCAGAUGUGAGAUCCUGGAGCUCAACUCCAGAACAGCAUUUGAAACUAUAUUUCUUGAGGGUAGGCGGAGAAAACGGAAUUCCACAUGUAGCGGUGAAAUGCGUAGAUAUGUGGAAGAACAUCGGUGGCGAAGGCGGUUUUCUAGCUUAUUCCUGACGCUGAGGCGCGAAAGCAAGGGGAGCAAACAGGAUUAGAUACCCUGGUAGUCCUUGCCGUAAACGAUGUAUACUUGGUGUAAUUGGACUCAACCCCAAUUGUGCCGGAGCUAACGCGUUAAGUAUACCGCCUGGGGAGUACGCUCGCAAGGGUGAA
RNAcentral lists this ribosomal RNA (377 nucleotides) under uncultured bacterium. RNAcentral's name for it is "bacterial SSU rRNA". It matches the Rfam family "Bacterial small subunit ribosomal RNA", at positions 523 to 898 of the family's 1533-position model. The record is from RNAcentral.